This 38-nucleotide ribosomal RNA is filed under the name Rectolejeunea versifolia. Its description in RNAcentral is "partial 26S ribosomal RNA". Lineage: Eukaryota; Viridiplantae; Streptophyta; Jungermanniopsida; Porellales; Lejeuneaceae. The record is from RNAcentral.
CGGACCUCAGAUCAGGCAAGAUCACCCGCUGAGUUUAA